Molecule: ribosomal RNA, 53 nt
Filed under: Jeotgalibacillus marinus
Lineage: Bacteria; Bacillati; Bacillota; Bacilli; Caryophanales; Caryophanaceae
Description: partial 23S ribosomal RNA
Source: RNAcentral
GGUUGAGUUAGAAAGGGCGCACGGUGGAUGCCUUGGCACUAGGAGCCGAUGAA